GUCAAUGGUCAUAAAGAAGGCUCGGCUCAUCUACUUGCAAACAGGAAGUUGUACAACAAAUGCAAAAGUAACGUACUCCAUUUAAAUAAAUUGUAUACUCUUCGGUCAUGAUUUUGAGAAGAAAAGAGUAGCAAUUAGUACUUUGAAGAGCUAUUAUCCAAUACAUAAUUUGAACUGCAGCCUUCAAAACUACACAGGCACUUGAAAUGCAUGCUGGCAUAAAUGCAUCUGGUUUUCAAAAUGUUCUUUGAGAGGAUUCUCUUAGGCUGGCAGCGCUGAUGCCCGAUUUUCCGUAUCAGCUCACGUGGACGCCGUAUACUGACUACGUGGACACAACUGAAAGCAGAGUGCGGUCCAGGUUCUUCCCGGACGGGUGCGCUUUGUUACAUCACACUGGAGGCGACAGUGACACUGAAAUCUUACGUGGCAU
Panthera uncia (snow leopard) is the source of this 430-nucleotide long non-coding RNA. RefSeq lists it as uncharacterized. The record is from RefSeq and is a predicted model, not a curated record. The transcript is spliced from 3 exons. NCBI's taxonomy places the organism in Eukaryota, Metazoa, Chordata, Mammalia, Carnivora, Felidae.